GCUGGCGGCAGGCUUAACACAUGCAAGUCGAGCGGAAACGAUGGUAGCUUGCUACCAGGCGUCGAGCGGCGGACGGGUGAGUAAUACUUAGGAAUCUACCUAGUAGUGGGGGAUAGCACGGGGAAACUCGUAUUAAUACCGCAUACGACCUACGGGAGAAAGGGGGCAGUUUACUGCUCUCGCUAUUAGAUGAGCCUAAGUCGGAUUAGCUAGAUGGUGGGGUAAAGGCCUACCAUGGCGACGAUCUGUAGCUGGUCUGAGAGGAUGAUCAGCCACACCGGGACUGAGACACGGCCCGGACUCCUACGGGAGGCAGCAGUGGGGAAUAUUGGACAAUGGGGGAAACCCUGAUCCAGCCAUGCCGCGUGUGUGAAGAAGGCCUUUUGGUUGUAAAGCACUUUAAGCAGUGAAGAAGACUCUUCGGUUAAUACCCGGAGACGAUGACAUUAGCUGCAGAAUAAGCACCGGCUAACUCUGUGCCAGCAGCCGCGGUAAUACAGAGGGUGCAAGCGUUAAUCGGAAUUACUGGGCGUAAAGCGAGCGUAGGUGGCUUGAUAAGUCAGAUGUGAAAUCCCCGGGCUUAACCUGGGAACUGCAUCUGAAACUGUUAGGCUAGAGUAGGUGAGAGGGAAGUAGAAUUUCAGGUGUAGCGGUGAAAUGCGUAGAGAUCUGAAGGAAUACCGAUGGCGAAGGCAGCUUCCUGGCAUCAUACUGACACUGAGGCUCGAAAGCGUGGGUAGCAAACAGGAUUAGAUACCCUGGUAGUCCACGCCGUAAACGAUGUCUACUAGUCGUUGGGUCCCUUGAGGACUUAGUGACGC
This 821-nucleotide ribosomal RNA is filed under the name Psychrobacter sp. S2IP11(2011). RNAcentral's name for it is "bacterial SSU rRNA". It matches the Rfam family "Bacterial small subunit ribosomal RNA", at positions 35 to 849 of the family's 1533-position model. Lineage: Bacteria; Pseudomonadati; Pseudomonadota; Gammaproteobacteria; Moraxellales; Moraxellaceae. The record is from RNAcentral.